AUUGAACGCUGGCGGCAUGCCUUACACAUGCAAGUCGAACGGCAGCACGGAGCUUGCUCUGGUGGCGAGUGGCGAACGGGUGAGUAAUAUAUCGGAACGUACCCUAGAGUGGGGGAUAACGUAGCGAAAGUUACGCUAAUACCGCAUACGAUCUAAGGAUGAAAGUGGGGGAUUCGCAAGAACCUCAUGCUCGUGGAGCGGCCGAUAUCUGAUUAGCUAGUUGGUAGGGUAAAAGCCUACCAAGGCAUCGAUCAGUAGCUGGUCUGAGAGGACGACCAGCCACACUGGAACUGAGACACGGUCCAGACUCCUACGGGAGGCAGCAGUGGGGAAUUUUGGACAAUGGGCGAAAGCCUGAUCCAGCAAUGCCGCGUGAGUGAAGAAGGCCUUCGGGUUGUAAAGCUCUUUUGUCAGGGAAGAAACGGUGAAAGCUAAUAUCUUUUGCUAAUGACGGUACCUGAAGGAUAAGCACCGGCUAACUACGCGCCAGCAGCCGCGGUAAUACGUAGGGUGCAAGCGUUAAUCGGAAUUACUGGGCGUAAAGCGUGCGCAGGCGGUUUUGUAAGUCUGAUGUGAAAUCCCCGGGCUCAACCUGGGAAUUGCAUUGGAGACUGCAAGGCUAGAAUCUGGCAGAGGGGGGUAGAAUUCCACGUGUAGCAGUGAAAUGCGUAGAUAUGUGGAGGAACACCGAUGGCGAAGGCAGCCCCCUGGGUCAAGAUUGACGCUCAUGCACGAAAGCGUGGGGAGCAAACAGGAUUAGAUACCCUGGUAGUCCACGCCCUAAACGAUGUCUACUAGUUGUCGGGUCUUAAUUGACUUGGUAACGCAGCUAACGCGUGAAGUAGACCGCCUGGGGAGUACGGUCGCAAGAUUAAAACUCAAAGGAAUUGACGGGGACCCGCACAAGCGGUGGAUGAUGUGGAUUAAUUCGAUGCAACGCGAAAAACCUUACCUACCCUUGACAUGGCUGGAAUCCUUGAGAGAUCAGGGAGUGCUCGAAAGAGAACCAGUACACAGGUGCUGCAUGGCUGUCGUCAGCUCGUGUCGUGAGAUGUUGGGUUAAGUCCCGCAACGAGCGCAACCCUUGUCAUUAGUUGCUACGAAAGGGCACUCUAAUGAGACUGCCGGUGACAAACCGGAGGAAGGUGGGGAUGACGUCAAGUCCUCAUGGCCCUUAUGGGUAGGGCUUCACACGUCAUACAAUGGUACAUACAGAGCGCCGCCAACCCGCGAGGGGGAGCUAAUCGCAGAAAGUGUAUCGUAGUCCGGAUUGUAGUCUGCAACUCGACUGCAUGAAGUUGGAAUCGCUAGUAAUCGCGGAUCAGCAUGUCGCGGUGAAUACGUUCCCGGGUCU
RNAcentral lists this ribosomal RNA (1354 nucleotides) under uncultured bacterium. RNAcentral describes it as "bacterial SSU rRNA". It matches the Rfam family "Bacterial small subunit ribosomal RNA", at positions 28 to 1381 of the family's 1533-position model. The record is from RNAcentral.